GGGUGGGGGGGGGAGCUGCUCUGCUUCCUGUCUCUCCCUCACUCCAGUGCUUCUGGCCAGAGCAUCCGUGGGAAGGCAUAUGCAGCCAGUUCUCCGUCAGCGAUGUGUGGUGAUGCUGUGUGACGUGCAGUCCAGAAUGUUGGCUCCUCGCUGCAUUCACAGCUUCGGCAUGGAGGAGGACAGACCGCCUCGCUGCCGUCGUGCAUCCAGGUUCACACUAAGAAUACAUCUAGCAGGUGAGGUGUGAGGUAACGACUGGAGGGACGUGCAACCUCUAUCCCACAGCGUGGCCAUAGAAAUCUCCAGGGCUUACCACGUACUCCAUGGGGCUGCCCCGCACGUGCCUGCAGCCCUAGGAACACCACAAAAGGGAUCAGCACAAGCAGCAGGAAGCCUGGCACGAGGACUGAACAUUUCAGUCCUCUUGGUGGAUUGCGAACAGGGACCAGAUGGGACCAGCUGUCAGCAAGACAACAGGGACACUGGGCCACAAGUUCCUAGAUUUAUUUGGAUUAGACGGUCUUUUAUCAGCAGAGACUUCAACAAAAAUAAAUUCAGCCGUGGGUGACUUUGCUUCACACCAAACCUGAGAUUAGGCUUCAACAGUCAUUCUUGUCAACAAAGCUAAACUGGCAGACACAUCUACUGUCCAAAAGUCUACCUAUUUAGGAUACCAGGCUUGAGGUCAAAAAUUAAAUUGCACAAAUUGAGUAAACAAAACCAAAAAAAAACAGUGCAUAUGGUACAAGACAAGUGUGAUAAAACUGGCAGAUGGAGCAGUACGAGUAUAGUCUUGC
Brienomyrus brachyistius is the source of this 797-nucleotide long non-coding RNA. RefSeq lists it as uncharacterized. The record is from RefSeq and is a predicted model, not a curated record. The transcript is spliced from 3 exons. NCBI's taxonomy places the organism in Eukaryota, Metazoa, Chordata, Actinopteri, Osteoglossiformes, Mormyridae.